This 2794-nucleotide long non-coding RNA is filed under the name Citrus x clementina. RNAcentral describes it as "Citrus clementina (C. clementina) long non-coding RNA (CCLE_LNC006676)". The record is from RNAcentral. Lineage: Eukaryota; Viridiplantae; Streptophyta; Magnoliopsida; Sapindales; Rutaceae.
AGCGGCUUAGUCAGUAGCUCUUCAUUGCCGUCAAUUUUGGACACGCCGGCGACAACGAUUAGUCACCGUAUCGGAUAUCAAAAUUGACGGUGCGGCGAAACUUGCGUUAAUUUUCGUAAGAAUCAGUUAAUUGGUAUAGAAUUUUAAUUACAACAGUUUUAUUGUUGAUUUCAGCUUUCCAAAUUUCAGCUUCAAUACUUUCAUUUUGAAGCAGUGAUGAUUGAUUUAAUCUUUAAUUUCGGAUGUUUCUUCAUAACCGAAGAAAUGAAAAUGUAAUUUCCAGUGGAAUUUUUGUUUAGUUAAUGUUACCUCCUGGUUUAUAGCUUUGGAUAACCUUGUUUAUGGCUGAAACUUACAUACAUUUAAGGUUUCAUAUGAAAAUGGAGGCAGAAAAUUAAACAGGUGGUGGAAAUUGAUUUUAGGUUUCAUUGGAGCAGCUGGCAGACUCAGCUUACGAGCUUUUUCUCUCCUGCUGGUAAUUCAUACUUUCCUUAAAUAACUUUAUAGUCUCCCAUUGAUGCAUGCAUUUGAGCAUUUUAAUUUUUUUUCGAAUUAAUUAUUCUUGUGAGUGAAUAUUUCUUUGGUUUUUGAUUAUGAGGUUCAGAAAUCUAUAAUAUGUUGUUAUACAGAAUUGGAGUAAAUAAUUUAUUUACCAUGCUUAUUGCAUUUUGGUUUGGCAGUUCUUUGCUUCAUCGUGGUUGCUGUUAUUGUUACUUUUCUAUGAAAAUUACAUAAUUAGUAAAAUGAUCCUGUUAAUGGAAGGGCUUCUUGAAAAUCUUUGUUCUAGUGUUAACAAUAUUUACCAGCAGAAUGUCCUUGGGUGGGAACUCUUUUCUUUUCCAUUUUCUACUUUUGUUCAUUUUUGGAACCCAUUUUUACAAUGAACUUGGAUAAAAGUUGCAUUUAGAUAGAAAAGGAGUGCUGUUGUUUAUUAGUUUAUAUAUUUAUUUAGAUUUCUGCUGGUCUUAAUUCGAAAUUUUUGCUUUUGUUGUGCUUACAUGCUUCUGGUUGAAAUUUUGGGUCAUUAUUAAAUUGUAACUUGCUAAAUUUCAACUUUCGCUUUUCAGUGAAAAAUUAAGGAGACAUGGGUACUUCCUUGAUUGAUUUUCUCUACAGCUCUACUGAGAUCCUGUGAUUGGCUUCCUCAAGUGUAGGAUAAGUUAAUUGAAAGGUCGCUACGUUUUGUCAAUGUUGAAAGGUUACAAUAAUGCAAUGUUAGUGAGAUGUGCAAAACAAGUUACGCUUUGAAUGUGUCGAAAAUUUCAUUAUUAGUAUAUAUUGCUCCCUCUCUUUUGACCAAAUGAUGUUUUAUAUAAUACAGGUUUUAUUUUUGGAUGAAUGUGCAAAUUUCUAUGUUUUCCUCUUCAUUCAUAGUCAAGGUGGAAUUUUCAUAAUAGAGUUGCAUUUGCCAUUUUCACUUCUUUUUGUUGCUUUAGUUCUCUUCCAUUUGGGCUAGAAUUAUUGAAUUGAGUUUUCACUUUCGCAGGGUCUCUAUAGUAUUAACAUUAGUCAAAGGUUUCCUAAGGAUCUUGGAAAUUUGACAAACUUGGUGAGCUUGAAUCUAUACUUGAACAAUUUAAAUGGUCCAAUUCCACCGACGGUGGGCAAGCUAUCGAACUAUCUUUCCUAUAUGAGCACAAAUCUUUCACAUUACAUUCUUUUGCCUGUCUAUCUAACUUUUGUUACAAUUUUUAGGAUUUAAGUUUCCAUGGGGACUUUUGCCUGACUAUCUAAUUUUUAUAUAAUUCUGUAGCAAUAUGUUGCAUUAUGGAGCUUCUGGUUUGCACACUAUGUUAGGUUUCACUUGUUUGCUUUGGUAUAACUCUGCUUUUUCUUUGGGGUAAGGUCCGAUCAGCAUCCACUAAAAUGGCCACUAAAAUGGCUCCAAAAAAAAAAAGAAUUAUAAUUGGCCAUCUGAGCGAAAUCUGAUACUUGGUGUGUUUUAGCCGAACUGAGAUGUGCUUGAUUGAUACAGAGCACUCUAACUUUAGGAGCAGGCUGAGCCGCAGCAGGAGUGGGAUUUGCGGUUAAUUGCUUCUUGUUUGCUGGAAGUUUGUUGAAGAAACAUGAUGGUUUAUAUGCCAAUUUAGAACAUGAGAUGAAUCUCAUCCUGCAUUCAGUUGAUUAGAAUCUGUUGUGCUUACAAUUGCCUGCACUUUUGAAUGUGUCAUAUUUUGCAGAAUUUUUAGAGAGAGCAGGCUUUGGAUUCUAGAGAGGCAGAUUUCUUUCUCGAAUUGGAUUCCUUUUUAUCCAACAAUUUGUUUCUUCUUCAGAAUUGAGUUUUGUAUUGACUUGAAUAAAUUAUGGACGGAUUUCUUUUUCCCAAUUCUUUGUUCUUCCCACAAAUAUGAUUAGAUAUUGUCAGAAUUGAUUGCAUAUUUAUUUGUAUUACAGUUACAAGUCCCGGAAGAUGACGUUUGAGGAGACUGAAAUGGGCAUGGCAUAUCAAAUUGGACAUGUUGGGUAAACUGAUUUACUUGUUUGAUAUUAAUUUCAAUCCAUAUUCAGUCUUUUAAUGAACUGAAAGAAUAGUUAACUCAUGGCUUCAGAUCUUGUUGACAAUCUUGUUUCAAUUCCUUUGUUAGUUUCUGGCAAGCCGAAAAGAAAGACCGGGUCACUUUUCUUUUAGUUAUAUGCUUGCUUCUCUGCUGUUUUGAUUUUAAUAGGUACUUAUUUCUUUUGUGAAUUUGUAUCAAGUCGUAGUAAUGAUUUAAGACUCUUCAGCUUUGGAAUCUGAAUCAUAAUGGGGGAAAAAGAGGCAGUGAAAUUCAUGGAUUUGUGACGGCUUAAGGCC